This 346-nucleotide ribosomal RNA is filed under the name uncultured bacterium. Its description in RNAcentral is "bacterial SSU rRNA". It matches the Rfam family "Bacterial small subunit ribosomal RNA", at positions 1 to 334 of the family's 1533-position model. The record is from RNAcentral.
CUACGUAGCUCAGAGUUUUGAUCCUGGCUCACAGUGAACGCUGGCGGUAGGCCUAACACAUGCAAGUCGAACGGCAGCACAGUAAGAGCUUUGCUCUUAUGGGUGGCGAGUGGCGGACGGGUGAGGAAUACAUCGGAAUCUACCUUUUUCGUGGGGGAUAACGUAGGGAAACUUACGCUAAUACCGCAUACGACCUUCGGGUGAAAGCAGGGGACCUUCGGGCCUUGCGCGGAUAGAUGAGCCGAUGUCGGAUUAGCCAGUUGGCGGGGUAAAGGCCCACCAAGGCGACGAUCCGUAGCUGGUCUGAGAGGAUGAUCAGCCACACUGGAACUGAGACACGGUCCAG